GUGGGGGAUAUUGCACAAUGGGGGAAACCCUGAUGCAGCGACGCCGCGUGAAGGAAGACGUACUUCGGUAUGUAAACUUCUAUCAGCAGGGAAGAAGAUGACGGUACCUGACUAAGAAGCCCCGGCUAACUACGUGCCAGCAGCCGCGGUAAUAUGUAGGGGGCAAGCGUUAUCCGGAUUUACUGGGUGUAAAGGGAGCGUAGACGGUGAAGCAAGUCUGAUGUGAAAACCCGGGGCUCAACUCCGGGAUUGCAUUGGAAACUGUUUUACUUGAGUGCUGGAGGGGCAAGCGGAAUUCCUGGUGUAGCGGUGAAAUGCGUAGAUAUCAGGAAGAACACCGGUGGCGAAGGCGGCUUGCUGGACAGUAACUGACGUUGAGGCUCGAAAGCGUGGGGAGCAAACAGGAUUAGAAACCCGAGUAGUCC
RNAcentral lists this ribosomal RNA (425 nucleotides) under uncultured bacterium. RNAcentral's name for it is "partial 16S ribosomal RNA". It matches the Rfam family "Bacterial small subunit ribosomal RNA", at positions 354 to 796 of the family's 1533-position model. The record is from RNAcentral.